AAGCAAUGAAUGUAUUCAUCGCAAAGAAUGGGACAUAUUGCCUCAACAAUCGCAUUUCGAUACAUGUUCUUCAGUAAUACUAAUACAAGAUCCUUGUCGUGCUGGUGUUGUUGGAGCACUGAUUUUAUAGCUCAGAGCAGUAAAAUUUAUUUGUGAUUUCGUAACGGCUUUUAUGAUGCAUGAAAAUGUUUAGAAUUGUUGCAUAUUGGGAACCAUAUCAUUAAUUGAAAAAACAUCUGACCAAGCAAAUAAUUUUUGUAAUUGAUCACAUUGUUUCAAUCAUGUGUUGCAAUGUCAUUCAAUUAAGGUUUUUAAAUGAGUUGAAAGUGUAUUAUUGG
This 338-nucleotide long non-coding RNA is filed under the name Trifolium pratense (red clover). RNAcentral's name for it is "long non-coding RNA (TPRA_LNC002554)". The record is from RNAcentral. Lineage: Eukaryota; Viridiplantae; Streptophyta; Magnoliopsida; Fabales; Fabaceae.